AUGUUGCGGAAGGGGAAGGCCUUCUUGGCGUCGACGCCGACGGCGGCCGGGUCGUAGUGGACGAUCUCGACGGUGGCGCCGGCGGCCGCCGCGCACAUCUUGGCCAGGCCGUCGAGCGUCACGCCGCGGUCGCUCACGCAGUUGAAUAUCUUCCCGGCGGCGGCGUCCGGGUUCUCCACGGCGAGCGUGAGCAUGCUUCCCAGGUCCCUCGCGUGCGAGAUGUUGGUCAGCUGCAUCCCCGACCCCGGGAUCGGCACCGGCCGCUUCCGCACAAUUCCUACCAAUUUCAAUCCAAGAAUGAAUGCAAUGUGUUGAUUGCAAAAUGAAUCCAAGAACUAAUUUGUGGGUGAUCGAGCGAGCUGGGCAGAAUGAUUUUUGACUUACUGUCGAAGAACCACUCCUCGCAGUCCUUGUUGUUGCCGGAGCCGGUCAUGUACUGCGGCCGGAACGAGGCCCAGCUGCCGAACUCCGCCGCGAUGUACUUCUCCACGCCGACGUGCCCGGCGCUCUCCUUCACGGCGUCCUGCGAUGCGAGCACCGACGUAGAUGGAAAUGGAAUCACGAUCAUCGGCUACUCGCCUCUGACCAACCGAUGAACAUUGGUCAUGUUGGAUGGAGAUGGAAUGAAUGAUUUACCCCCUCGACGUGCGGCGGCUCGUCGGUUUGGAGGUAGAUCCCGGCGCUGCUGAUGAACAGGAACUGGCCGACCCCGGCCGCCUUGGCCCAGUCCGCCACCGGCCUGCACGCAACCAAGAAUCACAUUGCAUUGCUGACCGAUCUCGUGGCAAGAAACAGAGGCGGUUAACCGUGGAGCGAGCAGAGCAUAGCAUACUUGACGGCGUCGAGGUCCUUGCCGUUGUUGUCGAGCACGACGUCGAAGGACGCAGCGCCGACGGCCGCGCCGACGUCCGCCGGGUCGCCCCACACCGUCUUGGCCCCGGCGCUGGUCAGCUCCUGCAUGCACGCACGCGCCGCACAGAAGACAGAACC
This 990-nucleotide long non-coding RNA is filed under the name Hordeum vulgare. RNAcentral describes it as "long non-coding RNA (HVUL_LNC014587)". The record is from RNAcentral. Lineage: Eukaryota; Viridiplantae; Streptophyta; Magnoliopsida; Poales; Poaceae.